Molecule: ribosomal RNA, 425 nt
Filed under: uncultured bacterium
Lineage: Bacteria
Description: bacterial SSU rRNA
Rfam family: Bacterial small subunit ribosomal RNA
Source: RNAcentral
CUCAACUGGGAGAGGUCGUUCGAAACUGUGUAGCUAGAGGCCGGUAGAGGCGAGUGGAAUUCCCGGUGUAGUGGUGAAAUGCGUAGAUAUCGGGAGGAACACCAGAGGCGAAGGCGGCUCGCUGGGCCGGCACUGACGCUGAGACGCGAAAGCCAGGGGAGAGAACGGAAUUAGAAACCCCGGUAUUCCUGGCAGUAAACGAUGUCAACUAGGUGUAGGGGGUGUAGAAGCCUUCUGCGCUGCAGCCCACGCAGUAAGUUGACCGCCUGGGGAGUACGGCCGCAAGGCUAAAACUCAAAGGAAUUGACGGGGGCCCGCACAAGCAGCGGAGCGUGUGGUUUAAUUCGAGGCAACGCGAAGAACCUUACCAGGGUUUGACAUGUCGGUGGUAGGGAGACGAAAGUCGACUGACCCUUCGGGGAGCC